GACGAACGCUGGCGGCGUGCUUAACACAUGCAAGUCGAACGGAAAGGCCCUGCUUUUGUGGGGUGCUCGAGUGGCGAACGGGUGAGUAACACGUGAGUAACCUGCCCUUGACUUUGGGAUAACUUCAGGAAACUGGGGCUAAUACCGGAUAGGAGCUCCUGCUGCAUGGUGGGGGUUGGAAAGCUCCGGCGGUUGUGGAUGGACUCGCGGCCUAUCAGCUUGUUGGUGGGGUAGUGGCCUACCAAGGCGGCGACGGGUAGCCGGCCUGAGAGGGUGACCGGCCACAUUGGGACUGAGAUACGGCCCAGACUCCUACGGGAGGCAGCAGUGGGGAAUAUUGCACAAUGGGCGCAAGCCUGAUGCAGCAACGCCGCGUGCGGGAUGACGGCCUUCGGGUUGUAAACCGCUUUCAGCAGGGACGAAGCUUUUUGUGACGGUACCUGCAGAAGAAGCACCGGCUAACUACGUG
This 469-nucleotide ribosomal RNA is filed under the name uncultured bacterium. Its description in RNAcentral is "partial 16S ribosomal RNA". It matches the Rfam family "Bacterial small subunit ribosomal RNA", at positions 28 to 507 of the family's 1533-position model. The record is from RNAcentral.